GACGAACGCUGGCGGCGUGCUUAACACAUGCAAGUCGAACGUGAUUUUUGUGGAAAUUCUUUCGGGAAUGGAAAUGAAAUGAAAGUGGCGAACGGGUGAGUAACACGUGAGCAACCUACCUUACACAGGGGGAUAGCCGUUGGAAACGACGAUUAAUACCGCAUGAGACCACAGAAUCGCAUGAUAUAGGGGUCAAAGAUUUAUCGGUGUAAGAAGGGCUCGCGUCUGAUUAGCUAGUUGGAAGGGUAAAGGCCUACCAAGGCGACGAUCAGUAGCCGGUCUGAGAGGAUGAACGGCCACAUUGGAACUGAAACACGGUCCAAACUCCUACGGGAGGCAGCAGUGGGGAAUAUUGCACAAUGGGGGGAACCCUGAUGCAGCGACGCCGCGUGAGCGAAGAAGGUUUUCGAAUCGUAAAGCUCUGUCCUAUGAGAAGAUAAUGACGGUAUCAUAGGAGGAAGCCCCGGCUAAAUACGUG
This 478-nucleotide ribosomal RNA is filed under the name uncultured bacterium. RNAcentral describes it as "partial 16S ribosomal RNA". It matches the Rfam family "Bacterial small subunit ribosomal RNA", at positions 28 to 507 of the family's 1533-position model. The record is from RNAcentral.